Molecule: ribosomal RNA, 492 nt
Filed under: uncultured bacterium
Lineage: Bacteria
Description: partial 16S ribosomal RNA
Rfam family: Bacterial small subunit ribosomal RNA
Source: RNAcentral
AGUGAACGCUGGCGGUAGGCCUAACACAUGCGAGUCGAACGGCAGCACAGUAAGAGCUUGCUCUUACGGGUGGCGAGUGGCGGACGGGUGAGGAAUACAUCGGAAUCUACUUUUUCGUGGGGGAUAACGUAGGGAAACUUACGCUAAUACCGCAUACGACCUACGGGUGAAGGCAGGGGAUCUUCGGACCUUGCGCGAUUGAAUGAGCCGAUGUCGGAUUAGCUAGUUGGCGGGGUAAAGGCCCACCAAGGCGACGAUCCGUAGCUGGUCUGAGAGGAUGAUCAGCCACACUGGAACGGAGACACGGUCCAGACUCCUACGGGAGGCAGCAGUGGGGAAUAUUGGACAAUGGGCGCAAGCCUGAUCCAGCCAUACCGCGUGAGUGAAGAAGGCCUUCGGGUUGUAAAGCCCUUUUGUUGGGAAAGAAAAGCAGCAGGUUAAUACCGCGCUGUUCUGACGGUACCCAAAGAAUAAGCACCGGCUAACUUCGUG